This 537-nucleotide small RNA is filed under the name Pan troglodytes (chimpanzee). RNAcentral describes it as "retained intron". The record is from RNAcentral. Lineage: Eukaryota; Metazoa; Chordata; Mammalia; Primates; Hominidae.
GGCCCAGCUUAUGCUAACAUUUCUACCUCCCCACUGGGCAGGAAUCGGGCGCCUGAUUGCUGAGUGUCAUCUCAACCCCAUCAUCCUGCCCCUGUGGCAUGUCGGAAUGAAUGACGUCCUUCCUAACAGUCCGCCCUACUUCCCCCGCUUUGGACAGAAAAUCACCGUGCUGAUCGGGAAGCCCUUCAGUGCCCUGCCUGUACUCGAGCGGCUCCGGGCGGAGAACAAGUCGGCUGUGGAGAUGCGGAAAGCCCUGACGGACUUCAUUCAAGAGGAAUUCCAGCAUCUGAAGACUCAGGCAGAGCAGCUCCACAACCACCUCCAGCCUGGGAGAUAGGCCUUGCUUGCUGCCUUCUGGAUUCUUGGCCUGCACAGAGCUGGGGCUGAGGGAUGGACUGAUGCUUUUAGCUCAAACGUGGCUUUUAGACAGAUUUGUUCAUAGACCCUCUCAAGUGCCCUCUCCGAGCUGAUGUUCUCUCCCAGGGGCUGGCUUCAGGAGGGAGCAUAGAAGGCAGGUGAGCAACCAGUUGGCUAGGG